CAAGCGAUAGGUAAGGGCAUUUGGUGAAUGCCUUGGCAAUCAGAGGCGAAGAAGGACGUAAUACAUUGCGAAAAGCUCAGGGGAGUUAUGAAUAGGCAUUGAUCCUGAGAUAUCCGAAUGGGGAAACCCGGCCGUAAGGUCAUCAUUAUCUGAAAAGAUAGGGUAAUGAAGCGAACUGAGCGAACUGAAACAUCUAAGUAGCUCAAGGAAAGGAAAUCAACCGAGACUCCGAAAGUAGUGGCGAGCGAAAUCGGACCAGCCGAUGGAUUUGAUUGUAAGAACUAGAACAGCGUGGGAAAGCUGACCGAAGAUGGUGAUAGUCCAGUAUAGGUAGAAAGCAAUUAAGUUCUUGAGUAGGGCGGAGCACGAGAAAUUCUGUCUGAAAAUGGGGAGACCACUCUCCAAGGCUAAGUACUACUGAUUGACCGAUAGUGAACAAGUACCGUGAGGGAAAGGUGAAAAGCACCCCGAUAAGGGGAGUGAAAGAGAACCUGAAACCGGAUGCCUACAAGCAGUCGGAGGAACAUUAAGUUCUGACGGCGUACCUUUUGUAUAAUGGGUCAGCGACUUAAUUUAUGUAGCAAGCCUAAGCCGAUAGGUGUAAGCGAAGCGAAAGCGAGUGUUAAUAGCGCGAAAAGUUACAUGGAUUAGACCCGAAACCGAGUGAUCUAGCUAUGAGCAGGUUGAAGGUUGGGUAACACCAACUGGAGGACCGCACCCACGCCUGUUGAAAAAGUCGGGGAUGACUUGUAGCUAGGGGUGAAAGGCCAAUCAAACUCGGAAAUAGCUGGUUCUCCGCGAAAACUAUUUAGGUAGUGCGGCAAGCGGACACGUUGAGGGGUAGAGCACUGAAAGAGCUAAGGGGGAGCGAUCCUUACUAAACUUUAUCAAACUCCGAAUACUCAAGAGUGAUACUCACCAGACAGACAUUAGGUGCUAAGGUCUAGUGUCGAGAGGGAAAGAGCCCAGACCGUCAAUUAAGGUCCCAAAAUUAUGGCUAAGUGGUAAAGGAAGUGAAUUGUCCAAAACAGUCAGGAGGUUGGCUUAGAAGCAGCCAUCCUUUAAAGAAAGCGUAAUAGCUCACUGAUCUAAACAAGACGAUUUGCGCCGAAGAUGUAACGGGGCUAAAGCCAUAUACCGAAAUUACGGGUUUGUACUAAGUACAAGCGGUAGCGGAGCGUUCUGUAAGCCUGCGAAGGUGUUCCGUAAGGAAUGCUGGAGGUAUCAGAAGUGAGAAUGCUGACAUGAGUAGCGAAAAGAAGUGUGAGAGACACUUCCGCUGAAAGUCCAAGGUUUCCUGCGUAAAGCUAAUCUGCGCAGGGUUAGUCGGCCCCUAAGGCGAGGCAGAGAUGCGUAGUCGAUGGGAAUCAGGUUAAUAUUCCUGAACCAACUAGGAAGUGACGGAUUCAGUAAAUUGUAUGUCCUUAUUGGAUUGGAUAUGCAGUGAAUGAGUUCCAGGAAAUAGCCCUAGUAUAGACCGUACCCCAAACCGACACAGGUGGACAGGUAGAGAAUACCAAAGCGCUUGAGAGAACUAUGUUGAAGGAACUAGGCAAAAUACUUGCGUAACUUCGGGAUAAGCAAGCCCCAUUUCUGGGCAACCAGAGGUGGGGGGCACAUACUAGGGGGUAGCGACUGUUUACUAAAAACACAGGGCUCUGCUAAAUUGAAAGAUGAAGUAUAGGGUCUGACGCCUGCCCGGUGCUGGAAGGUUAAGGAGAGAUGUGAGAGCAUUGAACUGAAGCCCCAGUAAACGGCGGCCGUAACUAUAACGGUCCUAAGGUAGCGAAAUUCCUUGUCAGGUAAGUUCUGACCCGCACGAAAGGCGUAACGAUUUGGGCGCUGUCUCAGCUGUAGACUCGGUGAAGUCUUAGUACCUGUGAAGAUGCAGGUUACCCGCGACUAGACGGAAAGACCCCAUGGAGCUUCACUGCAGGUUGAUAUUGGGAUUUGAUGCAGCAUGUACAGGAUAGGUAGGAGGCAAAGAGAUGGAUACGCCAGUAUUCAAGGAGCCGCUGUUGGGAUACUACCCCUGUUGUAUUGGAUUUCUAACCGGACGACGUAAAGCCGUUGACGGGACAGUGUCAGUCGGGCAGUUUGACUGGGGCGGUCGCCUCCCAAAGAGUAACGGAGGCGCCCAAAGAUACCCUCAGCUUGGAUGGAAACCAAGCGCAGAGUGCAAAGGCAAAAGGGUGUUUGACUGCGAGACCUACAAGUCGAGCAGGGACGAAAGUCGGGCUUAGUGAUCCGGCGGUGCUGAAUGGAAAGGCCGUCGCUCAACGGAUAAAAGCUACCCUGGGGAUAACAGGCUGAUC
RNAcentral lists this ribosomal RNA (2315 nucleotides) under human gut metagenome. Its description in RNAcentral is "bacterial LSU rRNA". It matches the Rfam family "Bacterial large subunit ribosomal RNA", at positions 1 to 2487 of the family's 2925-position model. The record is from RNAcentral.